RNAcentral lists this ribosomal RNA (1436 nucleotides) under Salmonella enterica. RNAcentral describes it as "bacterial SSU rRNA". It matches the Rfam family "Bacterial small subunit ribosomal RNA". RNAcentral also lists the same sequence under 1 other name. Lineage: Bacteria; Pseudomonadati; Pseudomonadota; Gammaproteobacteria; Enterobacterales; Enterobacteriaceae. The record is from RNAcentral.
GCUGACGAGUGGCGGACGGGUGAGUAAUGUCUGGGAAACUGCCUGAUGGAGGGGGAUAACUACUGGAAACGGUGGCUAAUACCGCAUAACGUCGCAAGACCAAAGAGGGGGACCUUCGGGCCUCUUGCCAUCAGAUGUGCCCAGAUGGGAUUAGCUUGUUGGUGAGGUAACGGCUCACCAAGGCGACGAUCCCUAGCUGGUCUGAGAGGAUGACCAGCCACACUGGAACUGAGACACGGUCCAGACUCCUACGGGAGGCAGCAGUGGGGAAUAUUGCACAAUGGGCGCAAGCCUGAUGCAGCCAUGCCGCGUGUAUGAAGAAGGCCUUCGGGUUGUAAAGUACUUUCAGCGGGGAGGAAGGUGUUGUGGUUAAUAACCGCAGCAAUUGACGUUACCCGCAGAAGAAGCACCGGCUAACUCCGUGCCAGCAGCCGCGGUAAUACGGAGGGUGCAAGCGUUAAUCGGAAUUACUGGGCGUAAAGCGCACGCAGGCGGUCUGUCAAGUCGGAUGUGAAAUCCCCGGGCUCAACCUGGGAACUGCAUUCGAAACUGGCAGGCUUGAGUCUUGUAGAGGGGGGUAGAAUUCCAGGUGUAGCGGUGAAAUGCGUAGAGAUCUGGAGGAAUACCGGUGGCGAAGGCGGCCCCCUGGACAAAGACUGACGCUCAGGUGCGAAAGCGUGGGGAGCAAACAGGAUUAGAUACCCUGGUAGUCCACGCCGUAAACGAUGUCUACUUGGAGGUUGUGCCCUUGAGGCGUGGCUUCCGGAGCUAACGCGUUAAGUAGACCGCCUGGGGAGUACGGCCGCAAGGUUAAAACUCAAAUGAAUUGACGGGGGCCCGCACAAGCGGUGGAGCAUGUGGUUUAAUUCGAUGCAACGCGAAGAACCUUACCUGGUCUUGACAUCCACAGAACUUUCCAGAGAUGGAUUGGUGCCUUCGGGAACUGUGAGACAGGUGCUGCAUGGCUGUCGUCAGCUCGUGUUGUGAAAUGUUGGGUUAAGUCCCGCAACGAGCGCAACCCUUAUCCUUUGUUGCCAGCGGUCCGGCCGGGAACUCAAAGGAGACUGCCAGUGAUAAACUGGAGGAAGGUGGGGAUGACGUCAAGUCAUCAUGGCCCUUACGACCAGGGCUACACACGUGCUACAAUGGCGCAUACAAAGAGAAGCGACCUCGCGAGAGCAAGCGGACCUCAUAAAGUGCGUCGUAGUCCGGAUUGGAGUCUGCAACUCGACUCCAUGAAGUCGGAAUCGCUAGUAAUCGUGGAUCAGAAUGCCACGGUGAAUACGUUCCCGGGCCUUGUACACACCGCCCGUCACACCAUGGGAGUGGGUUGCAAAAGAAGUAGGUAGCUUAACCUUCGGGAGGGCGCUUACCACUUUGUGAUUCAUGACUGGGGUGAAGUCGUAACAAGGUAACCGUAGGGGAACCUGCGGUUG